Molecule: unclassified non-coding RNA, 424 nt
Filed under: Chytridiomycota sp.
Lineage: Eukaryota; Fungi; Chytridiomycota
Description: partial contains small subunit ribosomal RNA, internal transcribed spacer 1, and 5.8S ribosomal RNA
Rfam family: Eukaryotic small subunit ribosomal RNA (bases 1-47)
Source: RNAcentral
AAAGUCGUAACAAGGUAACCGUAGGUGAACCUGCGGUUGGAUCAUUACCAAUUCAAUAAUCUCAAAAAAAGGAGGUCGCGCGCAUUUUUGCGCGGGAUCUACAAAAAACCUUUUUUUGUGCACCUCUUGUGAACCUGUAAUCGUUACUGGUGGCUUUUUUCUCCCUCUUUUGUGUGAGAGAAAAAUGAAAUUGUGUGUAAUCGACAUUUAUUUGUUGAUCGCGCGCAGGCCACCAGAAGAUUUUUUUAAAUCACACUUUAUUUUUCUUUUUUCUUUUAUUCUUAAACUUUUUUUUUUUUACUUUGGUUUGUUCUCUCUUGUUCUUUCAUAUUACUGGAAGAGGAAGAGUUUUCCGACUAAAAGCAAAAGAAAAGAAAAAGCCAAAAUUGAGAAACAACUUUUAACAACGGAUCUCUUGGCUCUC